UAGCUCAGUUGGUAGAGCAGUUGACUUUUAAUCAAUUGGUCGCAGGUUCGAAUCCUGCACGACCCACCAAUCGUUAAGUGUGUGGCGAUUGUAAAACGUGAAGGAUAACGUUGCGUAAGCAACGGCCCGUAGGGCGAGGCGAAGUUGAGUCAUCCUGCACGACCCACCA
Molecule: regulatory RNA element, 169 nt
Organism: Pluralibacter gergoviae
Lineage: Bacteria; Pseudomonadati; Pseudomonadota; Gammaproteobacteria; Enterobacterales; Enterobacteriaceae
Rfam family: RtT RNA
About the family: This family represents a bacterial cis-regulatory element known as RtT RNA.
Source: Rfam